UGCGUAGGCGGUUGGUUAAGUCUGUCGUGAAAGCCCUGGGCUCAACCUGGGAAUGGCGAUGGAUACUGGCGAGCUAGAGUGUGAUAGAGGAUGGCGGAAUUCCCGGUGUAGCGGUGAAAUGCGUAGAGAUCGGGAGGAACAUCCGUGGCGAAGGCGGCCAUCUGGAUCAACACUGACGCUGAGGCACGAAAGCGUGGGGAGCAAACA
This 207-nucleotide ribosomal RNA is filed under the name uncultured bacterium. RNAcentral describes it as "partial 16S ribosomal RNA". It matches the Rfam family "Bacterial small subunit ribosomal RNA", at positions 568 to 774 of the family's 1533-position model. The record is from RNAcentral.